This 253-nucleotide ribosomal RNA is filed under the name uncultured bacterium. RNAcentral describes it as "partial 16S ribosomal RNA". It matches the Rfam family "Bacterial small subunit ribosomal RNA", at positions 524 to 776 of the family's 1533-position model. The record is from RNAcentral.
UACGUAGGGACCGAGCGUUGUCCGGAUUCAUUGGGCGUAAAGAGCUCGUAGGCGGCCACUCAAGUCGAAUGUGAAACCUCGAGGCUUAACCUCGAGCCUGCAUUCGAUACUGGGCGGCUAGAGUCUGGUAGGGGGAUCUGGAAUUCCUGGUGUAGCGGUGGAAUGCGCAGAUAUCAGGAAGAACACCAACGGCGAAGGCAGCUCGCUAGGACGGUACUGACGCUGAGACGCGAAAGCGUGGGGAGCGAACAGG